Molecule: ribosomal RNA, 372 nt
Filed under: uncultured organism
Description: bacterial SSU rRNA
Rfam family: Bacterial small subunit ribosomal RNA
Source: RNAcentral
CGAGGGGUGCAAACGUUAUUCGGAAUUACUGGGUGUAAAGGGUACGUAGACGGCAUCUUAAGUCAAUUGUUAAAUUCCCCGGCUUAACUGGGGGCAGGCGAUUGAAACUAGGAAGCUAGAGAGUGGAAGAGAGAAGUGGAAUUCUCGGAGUAGCGGUAAAAUGCGUAGAUCUCGAGAGGAACACCGAUGGCGAAGGCAGCUUCUUGGUCCAUUUCUGACGUUGAGGUACGAAAGCGUGGGGAGCAAACAGGAUUAGAUACCCUGGUAGUCCACGCUGUAAACGAUGAUCACUAGACGUUAGGCUUGCUUGCAGGCUUAGUGUCGCAGCUAACGCGAUAAGUGAUCCACCUGGGGACUACGGUCGCAAGAUUA